GUGAUGCAGUGGUGGCAGUCGAAGUCGCAUGCCAAUCCGCAUCCAUAGAAUCCACGGCCAUAGCCACAGCUGUCAUCUAAGCGAGAACGACUGCGUUGCACUGUGUUAAGCUCGAGAUGCUUGUAUUCGUUGAAUAUGAAGUGGACAUGACCACUGCGGUUGUCAGGCACACCGCAGUGCAAAACUUUAACCCAGAGAAUGUCGUGGAUUUCGAUCCAAUUGUCCUCUACGACGUGUGGUGGAACGGCGAUGCGACAGAGUGCUGCACAUGGCUGAAACUGAAGAAAUGGUGCUGCACACGUCGAAAAGGCUCAGAAAUCUGUCCUUAGAAAAGGGCAAGAGCACCAAAGGAAUUAUAACUGCCAUGGCCUCUAUGGCACCUUUGUCACAGGAGCAUGCUGACAUGGACAUAUUCACUGGAGAGGCCAUCGAUGUUGUCAUCGGAUCCUCAAGAGAUGACGGAAAGGUGUAUGCUGGAUCCGGGCAAUGAAUAGAAAAGGCUGCUUGGGGGACAUUGUUGCGGUCUACGUCUAUGUUCUGCCGUAUGGCGUCCACAACGUAUUGGAUGCCAGAUGAGCUUAAGAACAGAAGCGUGACCGGGACUUUGUCCAACAAGUCGCGAUCCAAGGGAAGGACUGAGGCCAGACCAGCCGUGACACCACAAAAGUUGUCAUCCUUGAAAAGUAUAUGAACAUACUGUUCUAAUGAACUGAUCUACUCAUGUAUAGAUGGCACAUGCAAAUAGCCACAGUAAAAGCGAAGCUAGUGCUAAAGCACUGUGUUGCGAUCAUCUGCUACUGAAAUAUUUCAUGUUAAAACUGUAGAAAGAAUUUGAGGCAUGUGAGUUAACAUGAAAAAAGUAAUCUGCAGUUUGGUUAUUGAAAAUGCAGCUUUGCAAAAAUAUUUCAUUGAACCGUGGGCAUAUUGUUGGGAACUUGCACUGUGCAUGCUGGAAAUUAUUGUUUAGAUGCUUUCAUUAAUUUUGUACUCGUGAUUGCUUUUCUUGCGCAGGCCUCCUCCGGAUCUUCAUAGGCAACCGUGUCAUGCCGGAAGACGAGAAAAAAAAAGAUUGAAAGAAGUGCGCAGGCAAUUGGUGCAGAAACUCGCUGACGCGCCAAGAAGGUAGUGCUACUGGUACUGAUUGCUACGGGGCUUGUCCCAAAAGUUUGUGCACUGAGCCAGCAAAAACGCGGCAGAGAAUGUAGUGACAUGAACUGCUCAAACUUCUGGGACAGACUUUGUAUAUUUACCUUACCAGCUUAGCACUUCUACCUUUCUUUGUGGAGUUAGUGCUUACCGUAUUUACUAAAAAAUAGGUCCAACAUGAGUAUAGGUCGACCACUAUAUAUUGAAUUAGUUGAGAAAUUUAGAAAAUUUUAGUUUGAAUUAAGUCAGCCAAUAUCUUUCUUUAGCAGUAGUAGUGUAAACUUAAAUUAUUUCUCUUAAGGGUCUUGGGUGGUGGGUGGGUGCCUCAGUUUAGAGCUCCAUUGGUCUCUGCAGCUUGCUGGGCUUGAUCGAGAAGAGCUCUCUGGCUCUCUAGAUUUUCGCUAGCAAGCCAAACGUCCCGGGACGCUGCCUGUUGCUUGGAAUUUGUGCCGUUAGGGGGUGAAUUUAGAAUUUGGAAGUCGUUGCUUACAUAUCCACAUUACAGGACGAGACUUGGCCCACCAAGGGAAGUGGCAGGGUGUAUGCAUCUUGUGAAGUAUUUGGAUGUAUGGAUAUGCGUGGAGGACCACACAAAUAGCGAAGGAACGAAAAAGAUUAGGUCUAUCUUAAAGAGAUGGGAAGAGUGUGGAUCAGAGAGCAAAUGGCGAUAGCCGAUAUUCUUGUUAACAUUAAGAGGGGAAAUGGAACUGGGCAGGCCAUGUAAUGCGUAGGAUGGAUAACCGGUGGAUCAUUGGUUACAAAAUGGAUACCAAGAAAGGGAAGCGCAGUCGAGGAUGGCAGAAAACUAGGUGGGGGGAUGAAGUUAGGAAAUUUGCAGGCGCAAGUUGGAAUCUGCUAGCGCAGGACAGGGGUAAUGGAGAUCGCAGGGAGAGGCCUUCGUCCUGCAGUGGACAUAAGUAUAGGUUGAUGAUGAUGUGUGUUUGUAAGAAGAGCCAGUACCUGGCCUGUUUCCCUGUACGGUCUGGGUGUAGGUGGCUGUAUUUUUGUCUCUUUGGUCUCCGAGGAUGUCGUGCUGGUGGAUCAGGGGUAUUCCAGUAAAACACGUUGUGGGGCUAGUUGGUGCAUAGCUUUCAAAAGAUGAAGCGCCAACAGUGACAGCACAUUAGGAAGGAACAAAGACAGGACAGGCGCUACUUGCAACUGUUUAUUGUGGUCAAAGGUGGUUGAAUAUAUAGCCAUGGGGAGAGGGGGGGACGAAAAAGGCGGAACACUGAUUGUAUGAAUGCGCACGCGUGAGAACACUGAAGAUGUGCAUGAAGGAAAUGGCGAAUCUAAAACUUAUCUAAAAACACACUUUCAUUUGUGUAUAUAUUCAGAGACGGGGAGCUGACACAUGUUUCCCCUCUCUUCCUAAUCUGGUUGGCCUCCAACAAUUCACGUGCCACAGAGUCUUUACUUUUAAACAAGAUUGUAGUAUCUUGAAGCCUUGCUUCACAUGCUUGUUUAUUUUCAUUGCCGCAGGCCUUG
Molecule: long non-coding RNA, 2634 nt
Organism: Dermacentor silvarum
Lineage: Eukaryota; Metazoa; Arthropoda; Arachnida; Ixodida; Ixodidae
Exons: 5
Source: RefSeq, a predicted model, not a curated record